GACCUGACCCCUAGUCAUUGGUUACCAGUGUGUCAGGCAAUCUGGACUUUCCAGUGAUGCCACUGAGAUGGCACCUGUCAAAAGAGCAGUGGUUCCAUUUCUAGAUUGUGGAUCUUCAGAUAAAUUCUGCCAUUUUCAUUUCACUUCCUGAAAGUCAGAGUCGGCUUGUGAAAAGUUGUUAAACAACAUGCUAAAUGUGAAAUGUCAACCCUCAC
Molecule: long non-coding RNA, 215 nt
Filed under: Homo sapiens (human)
Lineage: Eukaryota; Metazoa; Chordata; Mammalia; Primates; Hominidae
Description: LHRI_LNC811.1
Source: RNAcentral